This is a long non-coding RNA of Aedes albopictus (Asian tiger mosquito), 2970 nucleotides long. RefSeq lists it as uncharacterized. The record is from RefSeq and is a predicted model, not a curated record. The transcript has 3 exons. Lineage: Eukaryota; Metazoa; Arthropoda; Insecta; Diptera; Culicidae.
UGGAAAAGAAUUUCAACGUAUAAGAGAUACAAAUAUUCAGGCGGUUCCAAUAAUGAAUGAUCAGAAACGAGACAUACUGUACCAGGAGGUUCGCAAGAACCUAUCGGAUGCUUACCAAAAGCAAUCCAAGUACUAUAAUCUAAGGUCGAACAGGCAGGCUCCAUCAUAUAUCGUAGGCGAAAAGGUCCUUAAGAAGCAUACAGUUCUCUCGGAUAAAUCAAAGGAUUAUUGUGCAAAACUAGGUCCAAAAUACAGCGAAGCAGUUGUAAGACGAGUACUCGGAGACAGCUAUGAACUAAUGGACAAAGACGACAAUAUCUUAGGUAUUUUUCAUGCCAGCUUCCUCAAAAAGUAUUGAUCACAGAGCAAUAGACAUGAAACACGAGAACAAAUACACACGAGGGACAAUGAGCACCAUAAAUAAAAAGAUCCAAAUAGAGCUUGAAUACGAAAAAUCUAAUAAGAAAUGUGUUAGUAUAUGUACAUAGGUUGUAAAUAUAUUCCUAACUGGAUCGACUUUUCAGUCGGUACAAAAAAAAACUACUUAAAGCUAGAUUAGUAAUAAGUAAACAAACGUUCAUGCUGCUUUCUCACCAACUCUGAGCUCAAAAAUCAAUCCACUGCAAGUUCAUUUUAAGUUUCACUUUCCAUCCAUGUUCAUCGUAGAAUUCAUUCACAGCAACAUAGGUGUAGAUGUAGUAGUGCGAGUAUGGCGUCCUGAGCGUCGUCCACAACAUAAGUUCCACACAUGAGCAACAUCGACACUGAUUUCCAAACCGUUGUUGCAAUUGUCCGAAACCGUAAUCACAAGUCCAUAUCCGAGCAUACAAUCCAUCCAGCAUACUUUUAGGUUCCAUAGUUUCUCCGUUCGCGUAGUAGUUCCCCAUCCAGGUAGAUUAUCGUCAUGUCGCACCUUUACAUAGUCCACGAAAUUCUCCAACAUUCCAGACGGUAUUCCUAAAAAAACAGAAAGAAAUAAUGAAUACCUCCACUAAAUUUACAUAAUAUAGUGUACUCCCCCGGUUUUGCGCUAUAUUUUAGACAAUUUCCGUUGAAACUUCCAAGCUUUUCCGUAGUUUUGCAGCAGUUCUAGAAAUUCCACGCGAUUCACUUUACAGCGAUUGAAUACAUUUGACAGAUGAAUCUUUACGUCACUCGCUUUCCGGUUGCAGGGCUGUAGCUAUGCUGUCAGUUUGAAGGAUGACGUUUGUAAAGAGCUGGUCGCUAUUUCAUAGUCGAACAUUUGUUAUAGGUCAAAAAGCGAAUUGAUGAACAAAAUCGGUAAAGAAGAGCGACCAUAGUGCAUGGCACAUGUACGUUUUCGUUAUACGAGUAUGUUUUUUUUUUCGAAGCGUUUCUGACAUUGUUUUUAUGAGUUCAAAGAAUUUUGACGUAUGAACAAUAUAAUGUCGCUUCUCUAGUAUGCGUUAAAGAGAAAUUUCCGUUUAUUUUGAAGGUAUUAGGAAAAACGUCCUGAAAACAAAACGUAGUGCAUAGAAUAUGGAGUCCGUAAUAACCGGUUGCAUAAAUUGUUUUUAAAUUAGCGUUGGAAAGAAAAUGACAAUGCAUCUGAAGUUAUGAAAAUUUGAUCAAUUUCAUUGAUCAAAUUUUCAUAAAACCGAGUGAGGUGAUGUAACGAUAUCUGUUUCUUUUUUUAAUUUUAUUUGAAAAACAUUGAUCUCGAUAUGUUUGGCAAAAUUCUUAGCAAAACACAGUUUCCCGAAAAAAAAUAUAACGCUGGACGGAAUGGUGUUGUAAGCUUUCCCCUAUAUAAUGUUGCACGUUUCAAAUCAUAGAUGGCGCUUGAUUUAAAAUAAAGCCGUUUUAUGGAAAAUUAUCUAUGCGCGGAAGUUUCGUCAAGAUGGCCAAUUGGCAUACAAAAAGAAGGAUCGAGACUCUGAUCCCAGCAGGCUUGAAGAUUCUCGGCCAUUUCGUUUGCGGAGCGGUCGGUGAGCAGAACGCAUCGAAGUAGUGUUCCUCCAAAUUUUCUGAAGUGGUAGCUUAUCAGUUUCGAAUAAGUGAAUUUUAUUUGGUAUAAAGUUAAAAGGUUGUACGUUCUGCCUAGAUCGAAGUUUUUGAAGUUUGAAGUGAGCCUGUUCAACAGGCGGCGAGUCUGGGGCGGAAAGCCGUUUUUUGUAUUAGCUGGUGCGAAAGCGAGCGAGUAACGAGGUGCUGAGGUCGAGAGCCGGUACUGUGGUUUCCACGUGAGCGACGAAAAUCCGCAACGAACGGACGGGAGCUAAACCGAACGUCCGACCGACGCGCGGCGUGGCCGUCGUGUCCCGUAGCGUCCGUCACCAUACGCUACGUUUCCGGAAAUAUUUCUACCGAUCGCACGUGUCGCCAGUCUAUCGUUUUGGAACCAUCUCGCCGGUGCGCCGAUGCACUAAACCCAGCCCAGCAACAUUUCGCAGCCAGUUCAUCAUCCCACAGCAUCAUGAACCCUGCGCGCAGGUACGUGGUUAGGUUAGUGUUUGGCCAUUCACUAUAAGCGUACGCUCCGUUUGAGUGUGUCCCACAUGAACCCGGGUAGAAAGGAGAGAGAGGAUUUGAUAGAGGGAGAGAAUAGGAUAGGAAAAUGAGGAUUUCUCGAGAAUAAAAUUUGUAAAUCUUGUUUGAAGAUCUUUUACGUUUCUUUAUCACCUUACCUUUGCUCGCGAAGCGGUUUUUUGAGGUUUUCUUGCUUUCCUAAAGUUUCCGUAUUUCGAAACCAGCAUCUCCAAUCCUGCAAUUCCCCGGUCGUGAUAUUUAUAUAGAUACAAUCUAGAUAAUUCCCCAUCGAACCGUUUUUGCUUGAAUCGAGUUGGCAUCAUUUCCCGCUUAAGCAACCGUACGAAGCUUCCUAGACCAUAGAGUCCAUGCAAAAUUCCUAGUCGGGCAAUUCAACAGACAGGUGGUCUCUCCUUGGAGAGUGGCGCAUAAGCCACCUCGUUUGCCAAACCUAUCGAGUCGGGUCUACGCACGGUUACA